AUACGGGGCCGUUAUAUUCAUGU
RNAcentral lists this microRNA (23 nucleotides) under Branchiostoma lanceolatum (amphioxus). RNAcentral describes it as "Bla-Mir-4872-P21_5p (mature (guide))". The record is from RNAcentral. Lineage: Eukaryota; Metazoa; Chordata; Leptocardii; Amphioxiformes; Branchiostomatidae.